GUGGAUUAGAUACCCUGGUAGUCCACGCCCUAAACGAUGUCAACUGGUUGUUGGGAAUUUCGAUUCUUAGUAACGUAGCUAACGCGAGAAGUUGACCGCCUGGGGAGUACGGCCGCAAGGUUAAAACUCAAAGGAAUUGACGGGGGCCCGCACAAGCGGUGGAUGAUGUGGAUUAAUUCGAUGCAACGCGAAAAACCUUACCUGGUCUUGACAUGUCGAGGAUCCUCCAGAGACGGAGGAGUGCCGCAAGGAACUCGAACACAGGUGCUGCAUGGCCGUCGUCAACU
RNAcentral lists this ribosomal RNA (287 nucleotides) under uncultured bacterium. RNAcentral describes it as "partial 16S ribosomal RNA". It matches the Rfam family "Bacterial small subunit ribosomal RNA", at positions 773 to 1060 of the family's 1533-position model. The record is from RNAcentral.